RNAcentral lists this transfer RNA (76 nucleotides) under Burkholderia territorii. RNAcentral describes it as "tRNA-Arg". It matches the Rfam family "tRNA". From Rfam's summary of the family: Transfer RNA (tRNA) molecules are approximately 80 nucleotides in length. Their secondary structure includes four short double-helical elements and three loops (D, anti-codon, and T loops). The record is from RNAcentral. Lineage: Bacteria; Pseudomonadati; Pseudomonadota; Betaproteobacteria; Burkholderiales; Burkholderiaceae.
CGCACGUUAGCUCAGUGGAUAGAGCAGUAGCCUUCUAAGCUAUUGGUCGGGGGUUCAAAUCCCUCACGUGCGACCA